Molecule: transfer RNA, 89 nt
Filed under: Planctomycetota bacterium
Lineage: Bacteria; Pseudomonadati; Planctomycetota
Also listed under: 1 other name
Description: Planctomycetes bacterium tRNA-Leu
Rfam family: tRNA
About the family: Transfer RNA (tRNA) molecules are approximately 80 nucleotides in length. Their secondary structure includes four short double-helical elements and three loops (D, anti-codon, and T loops). Further hydrogen bonds mediate the characteristic L-shaped molecular structure. tRNAs have two regions of fundamental functional importance: the anti-codon, which is responsible for specific mRNA codon recognition, and the 3' end, to which the tRNAs corresponding amino acid is attached (by aminoacyl-tRNA synthetases). tRNAs cope with the degeneracy of the genetic code in two manners: having more than one tRNA (with a specific anti-codon) for a particular amino acid; and 'wobble' base-pairing, i.e. permitting non-standard base-pairing at the 3rd anti-codon position.
Source: RNAcentral
GCCCAGGUGGCGGAAUUGGCAGACGCGCUAGCUUGAGGUGCUAGUUCUCCUAACGGGGAUUGGAGGUUCAAGUCCUCUCCUGGGCACCA